UAUCAUUCAAUUUAUUAGUUUAGACUUUACGUAAAUAUCUAAUAAGACGUUUAAGAUUUGACGUAACUUGUACAUGGUUUUGUAUUUUUGUAUUUUACAGUUUAAUAUAACCUGCGGCAUUUAUAACUCCGUUGCUGCGCAUCGUAUCGGUAUCACGCGGCCGCCCUGUGCCGCACGCACGCAGUCGUCGCGCCGCGGCGCGUUAUCAUUCGCGUCGCGAGGGUCGAACGGACAGGACGUGGCGCACGUCGCUCCGCGUGUCGUAUUACACCGCGAGAAUGUGUUCGCGACAAAUCGUAGCGAACGUUAAACGUGGUAAUCUACGAUUGUUAAAACGACCGGCUGCUUAUCGCCGAUUGAUUAACUACGGAAUCGAUGCGUAUGCGCGAGCACAGCUAAAACUUGAAAAUGUGUUAACUCGAAAUAAAGGUAGAAGCGAAUUGUUUCAUCGUAUCGUCUACGGUAUCGUAAUCGUCCCUUUGACUUUUAUUCGCGCGUGGAAUUUUCCAUCGCCCCGAAUACAGGUGGUACGUUUCCGGCGUAAAAUCGCGACACGACACGAUUAACUGUAUAAUUUAAAUCGCGAAAAUCCGUAUAAUGUGUCGACGUGUAAUGCAAUCACGCAGUCAAUGUGAAACGCGAUAGACUGAAUAUUCGGCAGGAUUUACUUCGCUGUACGGUAAACGUAAACAUCUCGCCGGGUAGCUCGUCAAAAAGGCAAAAAGUUGUUUGUCACACGGCAUUCUCGGAAUUCACUUCGCGCGGCGCACGACGUUGUUUUUACGCGACGGUUUUCACUACGCGCGACGCGCAAGGUCAAGGUUGUCUACCGGCGGUUACGCGAGCCGCGCUGCCCCGAUCGUCUCAGUUUCCUUCGUAACGCGAUCGCGACAACAAGUCCGCGAGUGUGCUCUCAAUUUUCGCGCGGUUAGAACGUGGGGUAAUUGAAUGGCCCGGGAUCGUUUCGUUUCCGGUCGCUCUCGGGCGCGAUCGCGGCGACUCGAGUGUCUAGAAAUUCAGCGGCCAAUCAACGCGCUUGAGACAUCGGCCCGGUUUCACCAAGCGUCGCCUAACUUCGAUCUUCGUUUAAUUCACGUUCGUCUCCGAGGUGAAACAGUUGGAAAGGGACGAAGAACGAAUUGAGCCGAGCUGAAACUUGAACAACGUUGGCGAAAACGGACCUUCGAACGCAGUGCGAUUAAUUUUCACGGCCCUGGGUGGAAAUGCGACGCUGCCGCGCGGCGUCUUCGUUUCCGGCCGCGUUCGGCCGCGAUCGUGGCGACUCGGCUGGAUUUCGCGCGCAGAGACAGAAGAAGAUCGUGGAACGGUACGCGCUCCUAAUGCCGGCGAUUAGCGGAAGGCCCGGCGUGUUCGCGACACGAAGGAACUCGGUGAAAUAGUGUCGCGAUCGUAUUUUCGGGAGUGUUGUGCGAGUUGAACGGCUGGCAACGAGUGCGUCCGAGAGGCCUGAGAGG
This is a long non-coding RNA of Vollenhovia emeryi, 1475 nucleotides long. RefSeq lists it as uncharacterized. NCBI's taxonomy places the organism in Eukaryota, Metazoa, Arthropoda, Insecta, Hymenoptera, Formicidae. The record is from RefSeq and is a predicted model, not a curated record. The transcript is spliced from 3 exons.